This 253-nucleotide ribosomal RNA is filed under the name uncultured bacterium. RNAcentral's name for it is "partial 16S ribosomal RNA". It matches the Rfam family "Bacterial small subunit ribosomal RNA", at positions 524 to 776 of the family's 1533-position model. The record is from RNAcentral.
UACAUGUGGGGCAAGCGUUGUUCGGAAUUACUGGGCAUAAAGGGUGCGUAGGCGGCUUGCUAAGUCAGUGGUGAAAUCGUCCGGCCCAACCGGACACGUGCCAAUGAUACUGGCGAGCUCGAGUGCGUGAGGGGUGGGGGGAACGAGCAGUGUAGCGGUGAAAUGCGUAGAUAUUGCUCGGAAGGCCAAAGCCGAAGGGACCCCACUGGUACGUAACUGACGCUGAGGCACGAAAGCGUGGGGAGCAAACGGG